CAUCCUACGGGGGGCAGCAGUGAGGAAUAUUGGUCAAUGGGCGAGAGCCUGAACCAGCCAAGUCGCGUGAGGGAAGACGGCCCUACGGGUUGUAAACCUCUUUUGUCAGGGAGCAAGAACGGAUACGUGUAUCCGAGCGAGAGUACCUGAAGAAAAAGCAUCGGCUAACUCCGUGCCAGCAGCCGCGGUAAUACGGAGGAUGCGAGCGUUAUCCGGAUUUAUUGGGUUUAAAGGGUGCGUAGGCGGUUUGAUAAGUUAGAGGGGAAAUGUCGGGGCUCAACCCCGAAACUGCCUCUAAUACUGUU
This 305-nucleotide ribosomal RNA is filed under the name uncultured bacterium. RNAcentral's name for it is "bacterial SSU rRNA". It matches the Rfam family "Bacterial small subunit ribosomal RNA", at positions 335 to 637 of the family's 1533-position model. The record is from RNAcentral.